UUGCUGGUGGUCUAGUGGCUAAGACUUGCACUCCCAAUGCAGAGGGCCCAGGUGCGAUCCCUGGUCAGGGAA
This 72-nucleotide transfer RNA is filed under the name Bos taurus (domestic cattle). It matches the Rfam family "tRNA". From Rfam's summary of the family: Transfer RNA (tRNA) molecules are approximately 80 nucleotides in length. Their secondary structure includes four short double-helical elements and three loops (D, anti-codon, and T loops). Lineage: Eukaryota; Metazoa; Chordata; Mammalia; Artiodactyla; Bovidae. The record is from Rfam by way of RNAcentral. RNAcentral also lists the same sequence under 1 other name.